This 672-nucleotide ribosomal RNA is filed under the name Triticum aestivum (bread wheat). Its description in RNAcentral is "partial small subunit ribosomal RNA". Lineage: Eukaryota; Viridiplantae; Streptophyta; Magnoliopsida; Poales; Poaceae. The record is from RNAcentral.
AUGCAUAGCACAAUCAAUAAGUUAAGCAAUGGAGCACUUCAAUCAGUGGCUAAAAUCAUCAGCCGCACCAAGUGUAGUUUUAAUAAGACUAGACCACUGUUAAGAGAAAUUGUAACAUACCAUCUUCCGUGUUACUUAGCCAAGUUGGAUCAUGAAGAUGUCAUCAUGUCUGAGUUGUCUGAAAUUUUGAUAAAUCCUGGCAGCUACCAAUCUGAUUCGUUGAGCCUUGUCACACCUGUGUCACCACUGCUUCUGUCAUCUAUCAACCAAGCUUUGGAUAGACUUGAUGGGAUUCCUGACCAAGCUCUUGUUGCAGUGAACAGGAAACUCAUAGGAAAAACAUCUAUGCCGAAAUUCUGGCAUGUGCCUCGGUCUUCCAGUAGAGGGCAUCUUAUUGAAAUAGUGAGGAAAAGAUGCAAAAUGAUUAUAGCGCGUAUUGAGGAAGGUUACAUGCCAAAGAGAUUAGCAAAGGCCAUGUCAAUGGUGAACCUAUACUGGAAGCAGAAGUUGAGAUCCAUGGAUAUUUCUCAGUUAGAGUACUUCCCCUUUUCAAAAGAAACAGCGUCUUUGCAAAAUGAUGUCCUGAAUGCUCUUUGGUUGCUUCCGAAACUCCAGCAUGAUGACCUAAAAUUGCUGCGUCCCAUAUUGGACCCAGAUCCUAAAUUUCGAAAG